GCAGAGUAGGAAAAUAUGCGUAAAGUGCCGGGUGAACGGGGAGUUGUCAUCCGGACGAAAAACAGGAAACUGUUUGCGGUAUAUUUUUCGCAUCCCGCUGC
Molecule: non-coding RNA, 101 nt
Filed under: human gut metagenome
Description: THF riboswitch
Rfam family: THF (Tetrahydrofolate) riboswitch aptamer
About the family: THF riboswitch presents a pseudoknot that joins P1-P2 and the loop of P3 and two THF binding.
Source: RNAcentral